This 436-nucleotide ribosomal RNA is filed under the name uncultured bacterium. RNAcentral describes it as "partial 16S ribosomal RNA". It matches the Rfam family "Bacterial small subunit ribosomal RNA", at positions 341 to 792 of the family's 1533-position model. The record is from RNAcentral.
ACGGAAGGCAGCAGUGGGGAAUAUUGGGCAAUGGGCGAAAGCCUGACCCAGCAACGCCGCGUGAGGGAAGAAGGUUUUCGGAUUGUAAACCUCUGUCCUUGGUGAAAAGGAGAAGAUGGUAACCGAGGAGGAAGCCCCGGCUAACUACGUGCCAGCAGCCGCGGUAAUACGUAGGGGGCGAGCGUUGUCCGGAAUGAUUGGGCGUAAAGGGCGCGUAGGCGGUCCGUUAAGUCUGGAGUGAAAGUCCUGCUUUUAAGGUGGGAAUUGCUUUGGAUACUGAUGGACUUGAGUGCAGGAGAGGUUAUCGGAAUUCCCAGUGUAGCGGUGAAAUGCGUAGAGAUUGGGAAGAACACCAGUGGCGAAGGCGGGUAACUGGACUGCAACUGACGCUGAGGCGCGAAAGUGUGGGGAGCAAACAGGAUUAGAUACCCUGGUA